This 484-nucleotide ribosomal RNA is filed under the name uncultured bacterium. RNAcentral's name for it is "partial 16S ribosomal RNA". It matches the Rfam family "Bacterial small subunit ribosomal RNA", at positions 30 to 507 of the family's 1533-position model. The record is from RNAcentral.
AUUGAACGCUGGCGGCAGGCCUAACACAUGCAAGUCGAGCGGAUGAAGGGAGCUUGCUCCUGGAUUCAGCGGCGGACGGGUGAGUAAUGCCUAGGAAUCUGCCUGGUAGUGGGGGAUAACGUCCGGAAACGGGCGCUAAUACCGCAUACGUCCUGAGGGAGCAAGUGGGGGAUCUUCGGACCUCACGCUAUCAGAUGAGCCUAGGUCGGAUUAGCUAGUUGGUGGGGUAAAGGCAUACCAAGGCGACGAUCCGUAACUGGUCUGAGAGGAUGAUCAGUCACACUGGAACUGAGACACGGUCCAGACUCCUACGGGAGGCAGCAGUGGGGAAUAUUGGACAAUGGGCGAAAGCCUGAUCCAGCCAUGCCGCGUGUGUGAAGAAGGUCUUCGGAUUGUAAAGCACUUUAAGUUGGGAGGAAGGGCAGUAAGUUAAUACCUUGCUGUUUUGACGUUACCAACAGAAUAAGCACCGGCUAACUUCGUG